UACGUAGGUGGCGAGCGUUGUCCGGAUUUACUGGGCGUAAAGGGCGUGCAGGCGGUUUGUUAAGUGCAGGGUGAAAGCUCCCGGCUCAACUGGGAGAGGUCCUUGCAUACUGGCAAACUCGAGGGAGGCAGAGGAAAGUGGAAUUCCCGGUGUAGUGGUGAUAUGCGUAGAUAUCGGGAGGAACACCUGUGGCGAAGGCGGCUUUCUGGGCCUUACCUGACGCUGAGGCGCGAAAGCUAGGGGAGCGAACAGG
RNAcentral lists this ribosomal RNA (253 nucleotides) under uncultured bacterium. RNAcentral's name for it is "partial 16S ribosomal RNA". It matches the Rfam family "Bacterial small subunit ribosomal RNA", at positions 524 to 776 of the family's 1533-position model. The record is from RNAcentral.